AGUCCUGUGGCGCAGUGGUAGCGCGCUGCUCUUAUAUAAAUCACGUGAUAUGAUUCAUAUGGCCUUCGCUAGGUUAUGCAGAUGUCGUGGGUUCGAGUGCGUACACGCCCAGAAUUC
Non-coding RNA from Neocucurbitaria cava, 117 nucleotides. The record is from the annotation of a GenBank genome assembly. Lineage: Eukaryota; Fungi; Ascomycota; Dothideomycetes; Pleosporales; Cucurbitariaceae.